Molecule: long non-coding RNA, 324 nt
Filed under: Callithrix jacchus (white-tufted-ear marmoset)
Lineage: Eukaryota; Metazoa; Chordata; Mammalia; Primates; Cebidae
Description: lncRNA (ENSCJAG00000085335.1)
Source: RNAcentral
AUCUGUUUGCCUAAAGAGCUCAUUGAAGAAUCACCUUUUUUUCCUUCUAGGCAACAGUGAUUUUGGAGCUGAUCCUUUCUUGUCUCCAAGAAUGAUCUCGGCUUCAUGACUCCAUAUAUUCUGUAUACUAAAAAAGAAGAUUGACUCAGAUAAGGAAAUUUUGGUUGUUUCCGGUGUUGGCUGUUACGAAUAAAGUGAUACUUUUUGUUUCUCUUGGGUAAAUCUACACACAUUGACUUUCUAGGUUCUGGGGUACAUGCGCAGAUCAUGCAGUAUUGUUGCAUAGGUACGUACAUGGCAAUGUGGUUUGCUGCCUUCAUCCCC